GUAGUGGAGACUGGUGUGGCUA
Molecule: microRNA, 22 nt
Filed under: Mus musculus (house mouse)
Lineage: Eukaryota; Metazoa; Chordata; Mammalia; Rodentia; Muridae
Description: mmu-miR-1951
Source: miRBase by way of RNAcentral